This 71-nucleotide transfer RNA is filed under the name Praslinia cooperi. RNAcentral describes it as "tRNA-Gln". It matches the Rfam family "tRNA". Rfam says of the family: Transfer RNA (tRNA) molecules are approximately 80 nucleotides in length. Their secondary structure includes four short double-helical elements and three loops (D, anti-codon, and T loops). Further hydrogen bonds mediate the characteristic L-shaped molecular structure. tRNAs have two regions of fundamental functional importance: the anti-codon, which is responsible for specific mRNA codon recognition, and the 3' end, to which the tRNAs corresponding amino acid is attached (by aminoacyl-tRNA synthetases). tRNAs cope with the degeneracy of the genetic code in two manners: having more than one tRNA (with a specific anti-codon) for a particular amino acid; and 'wobble' base-pairing, i.e. permitting non-standard base-pairing at the 3rd anti-codon position. The record is from RNAcentral. Lineage: Eukaryota; Metazoa; Chordata; Amphibia; Gymnophiona; Indotyphlidae.
UAGGGGGUAGUGUAGUGGAAGCACGAAGGGUUUUGAUCUCUUAUGUAUAGGUUCGAGUCCUAUCUUUCUAA